This 552-nucleotide ribosomal RNA is filed under the name Bifidobacterium pseudocatenulatum. RNAcentral's name for it is "bacterial SSU rRNA". It matches the Rfam family "Bacterial small subunit ribosomal RNA", at positions 145 to 708 of the family's 1533-position model. The record is from RNAcentral. Lineage: Bacteria; Bacillati; Actinomycetota; Actinomycetes; Bifidobacteriales; Bifidobacteriaceae.
UUCUCCUGGAAACGGGUGGUAAUGCCGGAUGCUCCGACUCCUCGCAUGGGGUGUCGGGAAAGAUUUCAUCGGUAUGGGAUGGGGUCGCGUCCUAUCAGGUAGUCGGCGGGGUAACGGCCCACCGAGCCUACGACGGGUAGCCGGCCUGAGAGGGCGACCGGCCACAUUGGGACUGAGAUACGGCCCAGACUCCUACGGGAGGCAGCAGUGGGGAAUAUUGCACAAUGGGCGCAAGCCUGAUGCAGCGACGCCGCGUGCGGGAUGACGGCCUUCGGGUUGUAAACCGCUUUUGAUCGGGAGCAAGCCUUCGGGUGAGUGUACCUUUCGAAUAAGCACCGGCUAACUACGUGCCAGCAGCCGCGGUAAUACGUAGGGUGCAAGCGUUAUCCGGAAUUAUUGGGCGUAAAGGGCUCGUAGGCGGUUCGUCGCGUCCGGUGUGAAAGUCCAUCGCUUAACGGUGGAUCUGCGCCGGGUACGGGCGGGCUGGAGUGCGGUAGGGGAGACUGGAAUUCCCGGUGUAACGGUGGAAUGUGUAGAUAUCGGAAAAGAACA